Molecule: ribosomal RNA, 369 nt
Filed under: Triticum aestivum (bread wheat)
Lineage: Eukaryota; Viridiplantae; Streptophyta; Magnoliopsida; Poales; Poaceae
Description: partial small subunit ribosomal RNA
Source: RNAcentral
AUGAGGAGGAUGAGCAGCUCCGCAGUCCAGUCGCGGGCCGGCGCAUCCAAGGGCGAGGCCGGCGCGAGCGCUGGUCUACGGAGCUCUAUACUCGGAAGCUUCGGCUUUGCAAUCAUCGAUAUCUCUUAUGAGGAAAACAGUUUGCGCGUGGUUGAUCGAGGCCUUCUGGAAUUACUGCAAGCUUCCAACAGUUGCCAAGUAACGAUAUUGAACACCUCCGUCAAAGUGGCCCAACCGUUAAGCAUCGACCAUGUCGGCCUGAACCUCAUCUUGUACAACUGCAUGGCGGUUGCGUACGACGCGACCGGGAACUAUGGCGGCUACGCUUUGGAGGGCUGCAACGCUGUGGUCACGCCGGUGCUUGGCUAA